AGAGCUGGGCGUCCUGCAUCUGCUCUCCGGCCCUGGGGGUCUUUUCCGGCCUGCGCUGCUCUGGUGGCUUUUCUUUGCUCCUUGCUUGGUGGUGAAUACGUGGCAUUCCUCUGCUUUAAAUGGAAAUAAUUUGCAAAUACCACUCCAUCUCCCGGUCCUGAGCAAGGAUUGUGCCUCUGUCUUAUUUGCAAAAGUAGAGAGAAAAGCUGAGAGACUUCUCCCAUGGAGUAAACCUGGAAUGAAAUCACAGACUCGCAGACAACGAGGGCUGAAGGGACCUCAGGAGGUCACAUCUAGUGCAACCCCCUGCUCCAAGCAGGACCAGCCCCAACUACAUCAUCCUAGACAAGGUCUAAUCAGGUCUGCAACACCUUCAAGGAUGGAGAGUCCACCACCUCUCUAGCUCUUGGUUGACUGAGGAGUUUUGAAGGCUUCUGGUGAACCAGGAGAACCACGACAAGACCAGCCCGACCUGCCACAGCUGGAAAUACCUGCUGGGCGACCUCGGGUAAGGUACGCAGUCUGGAAAACACAGACCCCGUUGUAAAGCAUGGCAAGAGACACGGAUGAAAACACAGCAGUAGCAUUACGGGGUGGCACCACGGCUGUUUGCUCCGAGUGGUGCAUCUUGCUUUGUGCAUCCCUUUCCCCAACUCCAGAAAUACACACCCUCUAACUCAGAGCGUGGCAAGCAGCACUGCCCUCUUCGCAUGCUGGGAACCAGCAAUUGAAUGUCCUUGGGCUGCCUUUUUCUGAGUUUGAUGAGUCGGGGAGAGAGCACUAGAUGAUAUCACGGCCUCCCUGGCUGUGUCCCAAAGAGCUAAGAUAGGGAUCUAGGGUUGCUAAUGAAACCUUUCGUACCCUGUCUGUUUUCCUCUCCCACCUAUUUAUUAAUGCUCCUUUCCCACUUUUAACAUGUCUGCAGAGUAGGACAAGUCCGCUCUUGUAACAUUGCUGAAAAGGAUGCCUUCGCAGCCCGGUGUCAGUAGAGGCUGGCUAGGUUUUGGGGAGCUUGUCCAGGUUAUGAAACACUGCAAUGCACAAUGUUCCUGCCAUUGCUUGCGGUCUGCUGGCCUUUCUGAUGUCACCAUUGACUGCUAUUAGUAGUUGUGGGGCAUUUUGAAGGGUCGGGAGUGUCUUUGGUCCUAGCAUUGCUCCUUUCCAUGGGCCAGGGACCUGUCUUAUUCCAGCAACACGACCACCUGAGGCUCAGCUGGUCUAACUUACUGACUAGGCUGUGCCAGAGACUUAGGUGCCAUACAUCUAUAUAAGGGUUUUUGAACCCGAA
Long non-coding RNA from Alligator mississippiensis (American alligator), 1288 nucleotides. RefSeq lists it as uncharacterized. NCBI's taxonomy places the organism in Eukaryota, Metazoa, Chordata, Crocodylia, Alligatoridae. The record is from RefSeq and is a predicted model, not a curated record. The transcript is spliced from 3 exons.